This is a long non-coding RNA of Oncorhynchus tshawytscha (Chinook salmon), 1721 nucleotides long. The record is from Ensembl. NCBI's taxonomy places the organism in Eukaryota, Metazoa, Chordata, Actinopteri, Salmoniformes, Salmonidae.
GAGAGAGAGAGAGAGAGAGAGAGAGAGAGAGAGAGAGAGAGAGAGAGAGAGAGAGAGAGAGAGAGAUAAUGGAGCCUCUUUCCCCCCACGCCGUUCCCAUGGUGAUAUCACUCCUGUCUUCCUUCGUGGUGGGACACAGACUCAUUUGCGCAUUGGCUGUGACAGCCUCCUACCUCUCACUGACUGGAAACAGCAGGGGCCUGAGAGGAGCCAUCGGUGGAAAUAGCAGGGUAUCUCCUAUAACUGAACGAGAGGGGAAGGAUGGAGGGAGGGAGAAAGAGGGUGGGGUAAUUAGAGAACGGUACCCAUAAGAAGGUAGGAGAGAGAUGGGUCCCUACAGUGAUGCUCAUCAUAACACUAGGGGUUCGUGUCCAUAAUUAGACCUACUUUACUACAGUAUCUCACUGUAUAUUGGCUUUGGAAAAACGUGGAGACUUCUCCAGUUACACAAACAGUAUGAAAACCAUCAUUUUAAUUUGAACACAUUUUUCUUCCCUCAUUCUCCCUCUGUAUGGGUAGCCGCCUCUGAAAUCGAACCCACAACCCUGGCGUUGCAAUACCGCAUUAUACUUCUGUGUUCCCCAGGAUUCAGUUGGAUCCUCUGGAGAAGGACUGGCUACGAUCCUGUGCCCUGGGGAACACAGCUGCUCUCCGACAGCUCCUCACACAGGACCCCAGCCUGGCCUCAAAGAAGGACUUCAUCACUGUAAGUAGUUUCCAGUAUUUCUCCUACCAUCCUCCCUUCCUCUUUUCCUGGCCCUAACCUAAUCUGUUAUGUUGGUGAUUCACAUAGAAAAGUAGUCCAGAUACAAUAGCUUUGUUUUUUUGUUUUAUUUCUGCAGUUUGAUGUUUUACCAAAACAAAUACAUAGUUUCUUCUUGAAUAGUCAGUACUAUGCCAAACUGUACAGAUGAAGAGGAAACAUAGUGUGACGUCAACAUGUUAAGUGUAUAUCCUCUACUCUUCAAAUGGCCUCCAUGAUUUACCCCGUGUGUAAUGGGGGAAACAGGCGGUGGACUCAAAUGACACAGGUUUCAAUUCUUCAGACCCCCACCUAAUAUACUGCACUACUCUCUCCAGUGUGCAUCGACAGCCCCUCUCCUCCACCUAUUGGCUAACACGUCUGUAUUCAUUUCUAUCUGACCGGUCCGCUGGCUGGUUAAACCAAUCCCUUCCUUCCCACUGAAGCUCUGGCGUUUGAGUGGGAGCACUUACAAAACAAUGGUCUAAAGGAAAUCAGACGCUUCAGCUACAACAAACAAGCAGUUAGUAAACUUCUUAGCAUGACGAAAUGAGGGAGGAUGGAGAGAUGUAGGGACAGAGAGAUGGAGGGAGAGAGACUCCCCACCUUUAUCAGAGGGGCAGGAGAGCCAGAUUAGAGAAGAACAUGUGACAAAAAAAGGACAGGUUAUCCCCCUUUCCAAAACCUAUGAUUCUAUCCAAGAUUUAAGGUGGAAGGUGUUAAAAAAAUCUCAACAACCAGCUGUUGUGAACCAUGAUAGGUUGAAUUUUGUAAAUGAUUCAAAUGAUCAAAUAAUACAUUAUUGACUAAUUCUGCAGACAAAACUGAACAAUAUUAAUAUUAUUACUCCUAUAGGAAUGACGUCUUAUACUCUAACAAGAACCAUAAUAUUCAAUAUUCUCUUUCUCCUAUGAACUGUACUGCCCGAUGGCCGUUCUACAACUGUUUUGUGUUAACCUUGCUGCUGGAAACCAAGGGG